Molecule: ribosomal RNA, 194 nt
Filed under: uncultured bacterium
Lineage: Bacteria
Description: partial 16S ribosomal RNA
Rfam family: Bacterial small subunit ribosomal RNA
Source: RNAcentral
CCUACGGGAGGCAGCAGUGGGGAAUUUUGGACAAUGGGCGCAAGCCUGAUCCAGCCAUGCCGCGUGAGUGAAGAAGGCCUUCGGGUUGUAAAGCUCUUUCGGCCGGGAAGAAAUCGCACAGGUUAAUACCCUGUGUGGAUGACGGUACCGGAAUAAGAAGCACCGGCUAACUACGUGCCAGCAGCCGCGGUAAU